UGCAACCUAGUCUUGUACAGCUUUUGGCGGAGAAGAAGGGUGUCCUUGGGGGUUCCGAGGGAAUGAAGAAGGCGUUGGAAGGAGGCAAGGGCCGUGUUGAUCUGAAACACGCCGGCGGCGACGCCCUGCGAAGGCUCUUGUCUCUGUUUCUCUU
Non-coding RNA from Camellia sinensis, 154 nucleotides. NCBI's taxonomy places the organism in Eukaryota, Viridiplantae, Streptophyta, Magnoliopsida, Ericales, Theaceae. The record is from RefSeq and is a predicted model, not a curated record.